Molecule: non-coding RNA, 156 nt
Filed under: Triticum aestivum (bread wheat)
Lineage: Eukaryota; Viridiplantae; Streptophyta; Magnoliopsida; Poales; Poaceae
Description: Bacterial small subunit ribosomal RNA
Rfam family: Bacterial small subunit ribosomal RNA
Source: Rfam by way of RNAcentral
ACUUGCAAAGAUAACCAAUCAUACAUAAAAGAAUCUCGCGAGGGUGAGCUAACUCCAAAAACCCGUCCUCAGUUCGGAUUGCAGGCUGCAACUCGCCUGCAUGAAGCAGGAAUCGCUAGUAAUCGCCGGUCAGCCAUACGGCGGUGAAUCCGUUCC